RNAcentral lists this ribosomal RNA (115 nucleotides) under Luteimonas sp. The record is from RNAcentral. Lineage: Bacteria; Pseudomonadati; Pseudomonadota; Gammaproteobacteria; Lysobacterales; Lysobacteraceae.
CCUGGUGGCCAUGGCGGAGGGACUACACCCGAUCCCAUCCCGAACUCGGACGUGAAAACCACCAGCGCCCAUGAUACUGCACCCCAAGGUGCGGGAAAGUCGGUCGCCGCCAGGU